AGUGAACGCUGGCGGUAGGCCUAACACAUGCAAGUCGAACGGUAACACAAUGAGGCUUUCUUCUUUCCUGAGGCGUGUCGGACGGGUGUGAGGUAUCUAGGGGACUGUCUUUUUUCGUGGGGGAUCUCGUAGGGACGGUAACUCUUACACCAUAUCCUCCCUACGCCUGAAAGGAGGAGCUCUUCGCCUCUUGCCAUCUUAAAUGCGCAGAUGUCGGAUUAGCUAGUUUGCGGGGUAAAGGCCCACCAAGGCGACGAUCCGUAGCGGGUCUGAGAGGAUGAUCAGCCACACUGGAACUGAGACACGGUCCAGACUCCUACGGGAGGCAGCAGUGGGGAAUAUUGGACAAUGGGCGCAAGCCUGAUCCAGCCAUACCGCGUGUAUGAAGAAGGCCUUCGGGUUGUAAAGCCCUUUUGUUGGGAAAGAAAGGCAGAAGGUUAAUACCCCGCUGUACUGACGUUACCCAAAGAAUAAGCACCGGCUAACUUCGUG
RNAcentral lists this ribosomal RNA (492 nucleotides) under uncultured bacterium. RNAcentral describes it as "partial 16S ribosomal RNA". It matches the Rfam family "Bacterial small subunit ribosomal RNA", at positions 29 to 507 of the family's 1533-position model. The record is from RNAcentral.